AACGAACGCUGGCGGCGUGCUUAACACAUGCAAGUCGAACGCGAAAGGGACUUCGGUCCUGAGUAAAGUGGCGCACGGGUGAGUAACGCGUAGAUAACCUGUCUUCGAGUCUGGAAUAAUACACCGAAAGGGGUACUAAUACCGGAUAUUCUUGCAUUUCAUAAGGAGUGUAAGCAAAGGUGGCCUCUGUAUAUGCUACUGCUUGAUGAGGGGUCUGCGUACCAUUAGCUAGUAGGUGGGGUAAUGGCCCACCUAGGCUACGAUGGUUAGCGGGUCUGAGAGGAUGAUCCGCCACACUGGCACUGGAACACGGGCCAGACUCCUACGGGAGGCAGCAGUGAGGAAUAUUGCGCAAUGGGGGGCAACCCUGACGCAGCGACGCCGCGUGAGUGAGGAAGGCCUGGUCGUAAGCUCUGUCAAGGGAAAGAAAUAGUAUAAUGGCUAAUACCUGUUAUAUUGUACGGUACCUUAACGGUAAGACACCGGCUAACUCCGUGCCAG
This 501-nucleotide ribosomal RNA is filed under the name uncultured bacterium. RNAcentral describes it as "bacterial SSU rRNA". It matches the Rfam family "Bacterial small subunit ribosomal RNA", at positions 29 to 511 of the family's 1533-position model. The record is from RNAcentral.